CUGGAGAGCACUUUCCACUUUCAUUUCAUCUGGAACAAAUCUGGCUUCCCAAAACAGAUCCAUGAUGGGAUACAAAGCACAGGCAAUCACCCCCAGCUCAUGACUCUUCCAAAGAACUCAGGUCCUGCUUGCAAUGGGGUCCUGGCUGCAAAUCUACUCCAUGUCAAAUCAUCUGUUUCCUCCAAGCCACCAUAAUUGCAUGAAUGGCUAGUGUCCUAUCUCUCCUCAUAAUGCGGGCAGGAGAAUGAAGGAGAAUAAAUGGGACAGUGUCUCAAACUGAAAACCUCUCCCAUA
This 294-nucleotide long non-coding RNA is filed under the name Gallus gallus (chicken). RNAcentral describes it as "long non-coding RNA NONGGAT004572". The record is from RNAcentral. Lineage: Eukaryota; Metazoa; Chordata; Aves; Galliformes; Phasianidae.